This 672-nucleotide ribosomal RNA is filed under the name uncultured Clostridia bacterium. RNAcentral describes it as "bacterial SSU rRNA". It matches the Rfam family "Bacterial small subunit ribosomal RNA", at positions 127 to 813 of the family's 1533-position model. Lineage: Bacteria; Bacillati; Bacillota; Clostridia. The record is from RNAcentral.
UGCCCUAAGGAGGGGGAUAACAGUCCGAAAGGAUUGCUAAUACCGCAUAAAGCUAUUGUUCUGCAUGGGAUGAUAGCCAAAGGAGCAAUCCGCCUUAGGAUGGGCCCGCGGCCCAUUAGCUAGUUGGUGAGGUAACGGCUCACCAAGGCGACGAUGGGUAGCCGGCCUGAGAGGGUGGCCGGCCACACUGGGACUGAGACACGGCCCAGACUCCUACGGGAGGCAGCAGUGGGGAAUAUUGCGCAAUGGGGGAAACCCUGACGCAGCGACGCCGCGUGAGCGAAGAAGGCCUUCGGGUUGUAAAGCUCUGUCUUCCCUGACGAAGCUAUGACGGUAAGGGAGGAGGAAGCCACGGCUAACUACGUGCCAGCAGCCGCGGUAAUACGUAGGUGGCGAGCGUUGUCCGGAAUUAUUGGGCGUAAAGGGUGCGUAGGCGGCUCUUUAAGUGAGGUGUGAAAACCCUGGGCUCAACCGAGGGAUGGCACUUCAAACUGGGGAGCUAGAGUGCAGGAGAGGAAAGCGGAAUUCCCAGUGUNGNNGUGAAAUGCGUAGAGAUUGGGGGGAACACCAGUGGCGAAGGCGGCUUUCUGGACUGUAACUGACGCUGAGGCNCGAAAGCGUGCGGAGCAAACAGGAUUAGAUACCCUGGUAGUCCACGCUGUAAACGAUGAG